Molecule: ribosomal RNA, 253 nt
Filed under: uncultured bacterium
Lineage: Bacteria
Description: partial 16S ribosomal RNA
Rfam family: Bacterial small subunit ribosomal RNA
Source: RNAcentral
UACAGAGGUCCCGAGCGUUGUUCGGAUUCAUUGGGCGUAAAGGGUGCGUAGGCGGCUUCCUAAGUUUGAUGUGAAAGCCCGGGGCUCAACCCUGGAAUUGCAUUGAAUACUGGCGGACUAGAGUACUGGAGAGGAAACUGGAAUUUACGGUGUAGCAGUGAAAUGCGUAGAGAUCGUAAGGAAGACCAGUGGCGAAGGCGAGUUUCUGGACAGUUACUGACGCUGAGGCACGAAGGCCAGGGGAGCAAACGGG